UGAAUACGAGAUGCUACGGCGUCGAAGCAGUGUAUGUCAGACUUCCAAGAAAAGCUCGCAAUGUCAUAAAUAAAGAAUGCCUGUACCAUAACCGACACAGGUGGGUAGGUAGAGUAUACUAAGGGGCGCGAGAUAACUCUCUCUAAGGAACUCGGCAAAAUAACUCCGUAACUUCGGGAGAAGGAGUGCCUUCUUUAAGAAGGUUGCAAUAACAAGAUCCAAGCAACUGUUUAUCAAAAACACAGGUCUCCGCUAAGUCGUAAGACGAUGUAUGGGGGCUGACGCCUGCCCAGUGCCAGAAGGUUAAAGAAGCUGGUUAGCAAUAGCGAAGCUGGUGACUGAAGCCCUGGUGAACGGCGGCCGUAACAAUAACGGUCCUAAGGUAGCGAAAUUCCUUGUCGGGUAAGUUCCGACCCGCACGAAAGGCGUAAUGAUUUGGAUACUGUCUCGGAGAGGGACUCGGUGAAAUAGACUUGUCUGUGAAGAUGCGGACUACCUGCACCAGGACAGAAAGACCCUAUGAAGCUUUACUGUAACCUGAAAUUGAAAUUGGACUUUAUUUGCGCAGUAUAGGUGUAGGCGUUGAAAGUAAUCUUGCGGGAUUAGUGGAGCCAUCAGUGAGAUACCACUCCUAUAAUGUUAGAUUUCUAACUUUGGAUCAUGAUCUGGUCAAAGAACAGUUUCAGGCGGGCAGUUUGACUGGGGCGGUCGCCUCCCAAAUGGUAACGGAGGCGUACAAAGGUUUCCUCUGAACGGGUAGAAAUCGUAUCUAGAGUGUAAAGGCAUAAGGAAGCUUGACUGUGAGACCUACAAGUCGAGCAGGGACGAAAGUCGGUCUUAGUGAUCUGACGGUGCUGAGUGGAAAGGCCGUCACUCAACGGAUAAAAGUUACUCUAAGGAUAACAGGCUGAUCUCCCCCAAGAGUUCACAUCGACGGGGAGGUUUGGCACCUCGAUGUCGGCUCAUCGCAUCCUGGGGCGGUAGUACGUCCCAAGGGUUGGGCUGUUCGCCCAUGAAAGCGGUACGCGAGCUGGGUUCAGAACGUCGUGAGACAGUUCGGUCAUAUCCGGUGUAGGCGUUAGAAUAUUGAGAGGAGCCUUCUCUAGUACGAGGGGACCGAGAAGGACAUACCUCUGGUGUACCAGUUAUCGUGCCAACGGUAAACCCUGGGUAGCUAUGUAUGGAGAGGAUAACCGCUGAAAGCAUCUAAGUGGGAAGCCCACCUCAAGAUGAGUAUUCUCAG
RNAcentral lists this ribosomal RNA (1243 nucleotides) under metagenome. RNAcentral's name for it is "bacterial LSU rRNA". It matches the Rfam family "Bacterial large subunit ribosomal RNA", at positions 1564 to 2817 of the family's 2925-position model. The record is from RNAcentral.